RNAcentral lists this ribosomal RNA (227 nucleotides) under Clostridioides difficile. RNAcentral describes it as "partial 16S ribosomal RNA". It matches the Rfam family "Bacterial small subunit ribosomal RNA", at positions 1316 to 1533 of the family's 1533-position model. The record is from RNAcentral. Lineage: Bacteria; Bacillati; Bacillota; Clostridia; Peptostreptococcales; Peptostreptococcaceae.
CUACAUGAAGCGGGAGUUACUAGUAAUCGCAGAUCAGAAUGCUGCGGUGAAUGCGUUCCCGGGUCUUGUACACACCGCCCGUCACACCACGGGAGUUGGAGACGCCCGAAGCCGAUUAUCUAACCUUGUGGAAGAAGUCGUCGAAGGUGGAAUCAAUAACUGGGGUGAAGUCGUAACAAGGUAGCCGUAUCGGAAGGUGCGGCUGGAUCACCUCCUUUCUAAGGAGA